UACGAAGGGGGCUAGCGUUGUUCGGAAUUACUGGGCGUAAAGCGUGCGCAGGCGGCUUCUCAAGUCAGGGGUGAAAGCCCAGAGCUCAACUCUGGAAUUGCCUUUGAGACUGAGUGGCUUGAGUACGAGAGAGGUGAGUGGAAUUCCCAGUGUAGAGGUGAAAUUCGUAGAUAUUGGGCGGAACACCAGUGGCGAAGGCGACUCACUGGCCCGAUACUGACGCUGAUGCGCGAAAGCGUGGGGAGCAAACAGG
RNAcentral lists this ribosomal RNA (253 nucleotides) under uncultured bacterium. RNAcentral's name for it is "partial 16S ribosomal RNA". It matches the Rfam family "Bacterial small subunit ribosomal RNA", at positions 524 to 776 of the family's 1533-position model. The record is from RNAcentral.